Molecule: transfer RNA, 77 nt
Filed under: TM7 phylum sp. oral taxon 351
Lineage: Bacteria; Candidatus Saccharimonadota
Also listed under: 4 other names
Description: tRNA-Ala
Rfam family: tRNA
About the family: Transfer RNA (tRNA) molecules are approximately 80 nucleotides in length. Their secondary structure includes four short double-helical elements and three loops (D, anti-codon, and T loops).
Source: RNAcentral
GGGGUAUUAGCUCAGCUGAUUAGAGCGCUUCGCUGGCAGCGAAGAGGUCAGGAGUUUGAAUCUCCUAUACUCCACCA